RNA transcript from Homarus americanus (American lobster), 1424 nucleotides. It is a transcript of the gene named nuclear pore complex protein NUP62-like, with no coding region annotated. The record is from RefSeq and is a predicted model, not a curated record. Lineage: Eukaryota; Metazoa; Arthropoda; Malacostraca; Decapoda; Nephropidae.
GAAGCAGAGCAUGUAGAAAUGGCCCGACGGACUAAAGACACCCCAAUGGCCUUGCAAGGGGAAAACAAAGCGCCUGAGGUCUUCUUUAUCAAUCUAGUGCGAUCAUUUGAAGCAGAAAUGAUCUACUGCCGCACCAAAAUUGAAGAAGUUUCCCAGUGUAUGCAGGCGGCCAGUAACCCUUGUGAAACACUUGAUGACAUUGCCGAGGUUCUGCAGCGUGAGCAUGACACAUUGAAGGAAGUGGCUGCAAAAGUGUAUGCAAAACAUGGACAACUUGUAGAAAUCAGCCAACGUCUGAACACUCAAGCCAUGCCCAAUGAGCAUGCAUUCUUCCGACCACAGUCAAAAGAGGACUCCAAAACUCCUGCUUCAGCAGUUGUCCGACCAGUACUUGGAGGUAGUAGCAGUGGCUUGCAGGCUUUUCAGGAGCAACAACAGAGAGCCAAGGCUGUCACCCUUAGUGCUGCUCCACCUACAAUGCCAUUAACACAGACCACCAAUCCUUCCAUGUUUGGCAGUAACACCAACUCUUCAAGUAUUUUCUCAACUGGGGGAACAUCCUUUGGCACGAGUAAUUUCAACCUAGGAGGCACAGCAGGCAACACUUCUUUUGGCACAAAAUCCCUACCGGUAUUUGGAAACCCAUCAGGUUUUGGUACCAACACUUCUGGGGCCCUACAGUUUAGUAUGCCAUUUUCCAUCAAUUCACCUUUUAGCUCCAAGCCAUUUGGCUCGUGAGUCCUCCCGGGGGUCAGAAGCACACGACUGAUGUACGCUUGAAAGGAUGAUCGGAAACAGGAGAUGAUGAUGCAGAAGGACGACGCAAGAGGCGGCUGUAACAUUGGGCACGUGGUUUUAAUAAAUGCUCAAAUGAUGUUUAACUCUUGAACUGCAACUAUGAAAAACCCUGGCAACUGUUUUGCCUAAAAAUCAUGAGAAAAGAAAACUCCUAAAAAUAAAGUUAUGGGGGGGUGACGUGGGCUACUAAAUGACGAUGAACAUACAUCUUCCAUGAUGACUGAAAGGCACCUGAGAGACCUAAUAGUUGUGGGUUGUGAGAAGGCCUAUUGGGACAUGUAAUGUGCUUUAUGAAUGCUAAUCUUGGUGUACAAUUUCAAAACAGUGGCACAAAAUCUUUUUAUCACAAGAUGCGUGUUGCAAUUUGAGGAUUACUGUAAUUAGAAAAACAGAAUAGGAUGGAUAGGUGUACAUUUUAAAGGUCACUAAUAUUCAUUCAUGUCAUCAAAUCUAGUAACAUAAGGUUUGCUCUAGUACAUUAUUAUGCAUAAUGCUUUGGAUUUGUUAUCAUUUGGAAAUCCCACUUGUCUUAUGUAAACUGCAUUAAGUCAUAGUUAUUAUAGUAACUAAUAAAUAUCUUAAGCACUUGUAUGAAACUUUGUUUAUCAAAUAAACUGUUUUCUGUA